This 934-nucleotide ribosomal RNA is filed under the name Serratia sp. C3. Its description in RNAcentral is "bacterial SSU rRNA". It matches the Rfam family "Bacterial small subunit ribosomal RNA". The record is from RNAcentral. Lineage: Bacteria; Pseudomonadati; Pseudomonadota; Gammaproteobacteria; Enterobacterales; Yersiniaceae.
UGGGGGUAAGAGUGUGUUCGAGCCUGUCUAAGUMAGUCGCAGGGAGAGCUUGCUCCCUGGGUGACGAGCGGCUUUUUGGGAGAGUAAUGUCUGGGAAACUGCCUGAUGGAGGGGCCUAACUACUGGAAACGGUAGCUAAUACCGCAUAACGUCGCAAGACCAAAGAGGGGGACCUUCGGGCCUCUUGCCAUCAGAUGUGCCCAGAUGGGAUUAGCUAGUAGGUGGGGUAAUGGCUCACCUAGGCGACGAUCCCUAGCUGGUCUGAGAGGAUGACCAGCCACACUGGAACUGAGACACGGUCCAGACUCCUACGGGAGGCAGCAGUGGGGAAUAUUGCACAAUGGGCGCAAGCCUGAUGCAGCCAUGCCGCGUGUGUGAAGAAGGCCUUCGGGUUGUAAAGCACUUUCAGCGAGGAGGAAGGGGGUGAACUUAAUACGUUCAUCAAUUGACGUUACUCGCAGAAGAAGCACCGGCUAACUCCGUGCCAGCAGCCGCGGUAAUACGGAGGGUGCAAGCGUUAAUCGGAAUUACUGGGCGUAAAGUGCACGCAGGCGGUUUGUUAAGUCGUAUGUGAAAUCCCCGGGCUCAACCUGGGAACUGCAUUUGAAACUGUCAAGCUAGAGUCUCGUAAUAGGUGGGUAGAAUUCCAGGUGUAGCGGUUAAAUGCUUAGAGAUCUGGAGGAAUACUCUGUGGCKAAGGCGGCCUCCUGGGACGAAACACUGACUCUCAGGUGCGAUAGCGCGGGGGUGCAAUCAGGGAUUAAAUUCCUUGGUUAUUCCUUCCCUGUAAUACCAGGUCGAUUUGGUAUUGUUGGGGACUUUGAUGCAGUGGCUUUACCGGAGGCUAAGGCGUUAAGAUCAUAGCGGCCUGUGUGAAUAUCCGGUCUCAAUGCUUUUUAAAUUUCCAUAGUUCAUAUUAGUGCGGGGUCGUCGU